CCUACGGGGGGCAGCAGUGAGGAAUAUUGGUCAAUGGACGAGAGUCUGAACCAGCCAAGUAGCGUGAAGGAUGACUGCCCUAUGGGUUGUAAACUUCUUUUAUAUGGGAAUAAAAUGUUCCACGUGUGGGAUUUUGUAGGUACCAUAUGAAUAAGGAUCGGCUAACUCCGUGCCAGCAGCCGCGGUAAUACGGAGGAUCCGAGCGUUAUCCGGAUUUAUUGGGUUUAAAGGGAGCGUAGGUGGAUUGUUAAGUCAGUUGUGAAAGUUUGCGGCUCAACCGUAAAAUUGCAGUUGAAACUGGCAGUCGUGAGUACAGUAGAGGUGGGCGGAAUUCGUGGUGUAGCGGUGAAAUGCUUAGAUAUCACGAAGAACUCCGAUUGCGAAGGCAGCUCACUGGACUGCAACUGACACUGAGGCUCGAAAGUGUGGGUAUCAAACAGGAUUAGAUACCCCAGUAGUC
This 460-nucleotide ribosomal RNA is filed under the name uncultured bacterium. Its description in RNAcentral is "partial 16S ribosomal RNA". It matches the Rfam family "Bacterial small subunit ribosomal RNA", at positions 338 to 795 of the family's 1533-position model. The record is from RNAcentral.